RNAcentral lists this non-coding RNA (45 nucleotides) under Trichobilharzia regenti. Lineage: Eukaryota; Metazoa; Platyhelminthes; Trematoda; Strigeidida; Schistosomatidae. The record is from RNAcentral.
GUCCAGACGACGAGUCCCAAAUAGGACGAAAUCCGCGUCCUGGAU